CCUACGGGAGGCUGCAGUGAGGAAUAUUGGUCAAUGGGCGCGAGCCUGAACCAGCCAAGUAGCGUGAAGGAUGACUGCCCUACGGGUUGUAAACUUCUUUUAUAAAGGAAUAAAGUGAGGCACGUGUGCCUUUUUGUAUGUACUUUAUGAAUAAGGAUCGGCGAACUCCGCGCCAGCAGCAGCGGUAAUACGGGGGAUCCGAGCGUUAUCCGGAUUUAUUGGGUUUAAAGGGAGCGUAGAGGGGUUGGUAAGUCAGUUGUGAAAGUUUGCGGCUCAACCGUAAAAUUGCAAUUGAUACUGGCAGUCUUGAGUACAGUUGAGGUAGGUGGAAUUCGUGGUGUAGGGGUGAAAUGCUUAGAUAUCACGAAGAACACCGAUGGCGAAGGCAGCUUACUAAACUGCAACUGACAUUGAUGCUCGAAAGUGUGGGUAGCAAACAGGAUUAGAUACCCGUGUAGUC
RNAcentral lists this ribosomal RNA (460 nucleotides) under uncultured bacterium. Its description in RNAcentral is "partial 16S ribosomal RNA". It matches the Rfam family "Bacterial small subunit ribosomal RNA", at positions 338 to 795 of the family's 1533-position model. The record is from RNAcentral.